Micropterus salmoides (largemouth bass) is the source of this 854-nucleotide long non-coding RNA. RefSeq lists it as uncharacterized. NCBI's taxonomy places the organism in Eukaryota, Metazoa, Chordata, Actinopteri, Centrarchiformes, Centrarchidae. The record is from RefSeq and is a predicted model, not a curated record. The transcript is spliced from 3 exons.
AGGCAUGUUGGUUUGGUUACUGACCGAGACCACAGUGAAGGCACAGUUUACCACGCCUGCUCCUAUGGUGGCAUAGACUGGACUCUGGACUCCUGCCUUCAUGAAGAUACUGGUGGAGUAGUAGAAAAUCUAGUCAGAGGGACAGCUGCUGGGAGAGCUGCAGGAGGAUGGAAAUGAUGAUAGGCUGGCGGUAGAGUGGCGAGCGAAAGAGCUCCAGGAUGGACACCUUCCUCUCCAUGUCCAUCCUUCUCUUCUCCUCCUUCAUCUCUGCCAGCAUGUCGCCCACCUCCUGCCUGCCCGUCAACCUCCUCAGGCCUGCACAAAGGAGACGUGUAAAGAGUGAGAACUGAGAGGAAGACCUUGUCCUGAAUGCACCCAAGCUGAAUGAUGCCACCCCUCGACCCGCACCUCCUCCGCACACCCCUCCUGACACAGUGCUGCAAGCUCUGCUAAGAUCCACUUUCCCGCUGUGGAAGCUGUGGGCUGCAGUCCAGUUGGCAUCCGGGAUGCAUUUUGUAGUUUGGUUAAAACUAUACAGUAUGUAUGCUGUAUAAUAUGCCGUUAUAUGGCAAUUAAGAUUUUGUAUGUGUGAUACAGUGCAUAGGAUUUUCUGCUUCUAUUGUUCUUGCACAAGUUAAUCAAAUUGUGAUAUGUAUGUAAACUCUAUAGUGUCUGAGUAUUGGACUGUCACUACCGAAAAGUGUGAAACCACUGACAUAGCUGGAAAUACGCACCUGGACCUAAAAAUUCACAUAGUAGUCGGUUUAAAUAAGCUUAGGUUGAUGUGACAUGACACAGGCAAAAUGUAAACUUCAAGUACUAAUACCUAAAUUAAGAGUGUGUGGCAUCCAGGU